GGUUGUGUGGCCUAAUGGAAAGGCAUCUGAGAGUGGAUCAGAAGAAUCUAGGUUCGACUCCCGGCACAGCCG
Fusarium graminearum is the source of this 72-nucleotide transfer RNA. It matches the Rfam family "tRNA". Rfam says of the family: Transfer RNA (tRNA) molecules are approximately 80 nucleotides in length. Lineage: Eukaryota; Fungi; Ascomycota; Sordariomycetes; Hypocreales; Nectriaceae. The record is from Rfam.